This 21-nucleotide non-coding RNA is filed under the name Caenorhabditis elegans. Lineage: Eukaryota; Metazoa; Nematoda; Chromadorea; Rhabditida; Rhabditidae. The record is from RNAcentral.
UCCAAAAACAAUAUUCGAAUA